Non-coding RNA from Carica papaya (papaya), 604 nucleotides. Lineage: Eukaryota; Viridiplantae; Streptophyta; Magnoliopsida; Brassicales; Caricaceae. The record is from RefSeq and is a predicted model, not a curated record.
CAUUGGGUUGGACUGUUUUCUGAUUACAAUUCAGGGUCUUGACCUGUCCACGGGAUCUGCGGAUGAGGUCAUUCCCUGUUGAAGAUGCACUAGAGUUUGCGAAAAAUCAUACCUAACCCACAAAUUACAGAUAGUGGAAGGAGCUAACCAUUCCUACACUUCGCCAUCAAACUGAGUUAGCGUCAAUAGUUUUGGACUUCAUCAAAAACUGCUCUGCAACAAGACUAGCCCUGCUCACAGCCAAGUGCAUGGCAAAUCUGCUGAUGCUUAUGCACUUUUGGAUAUGGUUAUUCUUUGGAACAGUUUUUCAAAGGCAAUUUUUGAAAAGUUCUGUAUCAGGCACUUGAAGCAGCAAGGAGUUUAACACAAUUAGUUAGUAAUUUAAGCAUAAUUCAAGCAUUAGAGUACCAUUCCAGCAUGUUGUGGAGAUCAGCGAAAAUCUCUAUAUUAUUGGAAAAGGAUUACUUGAGCACGUGAAACACAUUGAUCUUGAGAGAUUUCUUGUGUACAAGCAUAAAAUUCUGUCACUUUUUAUUACUGGAAUUACAGAAGUUACUGGGAUUAAAACCCAACUUAAUUAUAAUAGUCCUUUCAGUAUGUUUAA